GACGAACCGUGCGAACGUUGUUCGGAAUUACUGGGCGUAAAGCGCACGUAGGCGGAUUUGUAAGUCAGGGGUGAAAUCCCGGGGCUCAACCUCGGAACUGCCUUUGAUACUGCAAAUCUCGAGUCCGGAAGAGGUGAGUGGAAUUCCUAGUGUAGAGGUGAAAUUCGUAGAUAUUAGGAAGAACACCAGUGGCGAAGGCGGCUCACUGGUCCGGUACUGACGCUGAGGUGCGAAAGCGUGGGGAGCAAACGGG
RNAcentral lists this ribosomal RNA (253 nucleotides) under uncultured bacterium. RNAcentral describes it as "partial 16S ribosomal RNA". It matches the Rfam family "Bacterial small subunit ribosomal RNA", at positions 524 to 776 of the family's 1533-position model. The record is from RNAcentral.